GGAAGAGCGAGCCGCUGGCCAGCGGGGCCCUGCCCAGGCAGGGCGCUUGGAGGUGAAGGACGAGGAGCCAGAAGGAGACCGGUGCCGCCCGGCUCCGCGGGACACAUGACAUGCUAAUGGAAGGACACAGAUCCUGUAAAAGAGGAUGAUUUUGUGUAAUAUUUGAUAUCCAACAACACUUGCCAAGAGAAGAUUUGUUCAUUGCAAGGUGUAGCAAGUUCCCUUACCUGCCUCUAAAACUUCUUCUCUGAGAUGGAGCGUGACGAAAGAAAAAGACAGACCACCCAAGACUGAGAAGGAAUUUGUCUGGUGGUCAGAAUACGAACAAAAAACCUGGACAAGCAUUUCACUUGCAGCCCUGUGUUCAAAAUCCACUAGCAGUAUUCCUGUUGAGGUACCUCAGUUCACACUCUGUUGCUUUCUCUAGGUGGCUAACAAAGAAAGCAAUGUAUCUUCAGAUAUGAUUUCCCUCCCUUUUCUGAAUCUUUAUUACUGUUCAGCCUCUGCAGUAUAUCAAGAAGAUAUAGUGCCGAGCAGGGAAAUAUUCAAAUGGUAGAAGAAAUUAUUUCGUGCAAGACAUGGUUUCUGCAAUUUUUCCAGUGAAAUGCUUAGAAUUGGGUGUGGAGGUAGCAAUGUGAUCAGAAUGGGGCAGAAAUCAAUCUGGAGAAAAUCCACUUCCUGCACUGUCCAUCCCGCUAAUGAUUUACCAAGUGAACGUGUCAUAGUCUCUGCAUGGCUCGAUUACAGAUGACUUUUUCCUCAUGAGCUAAUAGUGGAAGGACUAAAUAGGGGGGGAAAAUUGAGCAAGAACUUGCUUAUUUCAAAUAUUUUACUAAUUUUCAUUGUGGAUAAGUGCUGACACUCGUGCUAAGGCAGCCAGCACCACUGAGGGCUGGGGGGCCCUUCACCUCCUGUACCGUUUGCAGAACCUCUGCAGUGGUGCAACUCUGGUUAAGACUUGGUGUUUUCACUUUGCUUUUUAUAUGGUUGUUGCACUACUGGUGUUGAAGGAUCCUUGGCUUUCUCUCCUGUCUGUAGUAUUUUACAGUUGGCUGUGCAACACAUGAUGGGGCUGAUGGGGUUGUUAGGUUUCACUGCAGUGAUGGCUUACUUUGGGUGUUGCCAUUCAGGAGGCUAAGGGAUGCAACUUAAUGCCCUACUAUUGAAAGUGCCACCUGAAUCCAACCCUAGUCAGUCAUUAAGAGGUAUGGAAGUCUAGAAAAAAUCCAUGAUUUGGAGAAAGUGGGGAAGAAAUGUCAGGAGUCCAUUUUUCAGGGCCUGCUUGCAGUCAGCCUUUUGAAGGCCCAUUAUUUCAAUUUUUUUGUUUCAUUCUAGUACCAAUGUAUUUAGUGUAGCAAGUAAUCUGAAG
Long non-coding RNA from Harpia harpyja (harpy eagle), 1369 nucleotides. RefSeq lists it as uncharacterized. NCBI's taxonomy places the organism in Eukaryota, Metazoa, Chordata, Aves, Accipitriformes, Accipitridae. The transcript has 3 exons. The record is from RefSeq and is a predicted model, not a curated record.